UCAACAUUGGCUUCGCCCAAUCGCUGCAGAGUCCUGCGUGUCGUAGGCACCCUAGUUCCGCGCAAGCGCAAACAGUCACAGCCGAAGCGAAUUGAUCUGUUGGUGCGACUCGAGAGUGGGGAAACGAGGCUUCCCUAGGUCCCAGGUUUCUGGCGGACUGUAGCAGGAGCGCUAACCGAGCUUUAGCUCCUCCGAGGCGGAUAGAGAGAAGUUGGCUCUCGGUGGAGAAGCGGAGUACGGCGGUGCCAGCGGGUCGAUCAGCAAUGCCGAGUUCCCAGACUCUCAGCGGGGCGACAGGACUGCUUUGGGCCAUAUCCGGACCGGGGAUGUGCUUUAAAACGUCGUGUGUUCAGAAGUGUUAGGACAAAGUUAGCUUUACAUAUCGCUACGUAGCUAGGGAGCUAGCUAACUAGCCUAAACUACGAUAACGUUACUUGAUACAGUUUAGGAUUGGAAGCUAACCUAGCUUAGCUAGUUGGCAUAGUUUAAGCUAGUUAUUUAGCAUAACGUACCUAGGUUACUUGAGUUAGCAAACCCAACUAACAGUCAUAGAAGUUUAGAAACUGAAACCAAGCGUGUUAUAAAUAGCCAUGGAGCGUUUUCCUAACUUUUCCUGUUCAAGUUUAUUAGUUUAACAAAACAAUAUGCUACCAUUUAAUUAAUUGGUGAACCUUGGCUAUCUUAGCUCGCCUAGUUUGUCCCAGUUAGCUAGCUAGCUAGCCAUUAGGUUACCUAGGUUACUCAAAUUUAGGUAAGCUAGUUAUCUUGGCUAGUUAACUAACUAGCUAAGCUAAGUCUUAAAAAGUUAAGAAACUUAAAAUAAGCGUGUUACAGAUAGCUAUUGAGCUUUUUUCCUAACCUUUACUGUUUAAGUUUAUUAUUUUUACAAAAUAAUUUGCUACCACUUGAUUGGUGAAACUUAGCUAAGUUAUCUAUCUAGCCUAGUGUGUCCGUAUUAGUUAACAAGCUCGCUACCUAGAUUAACGUUACUUGAGUUAGCAAAGUUAACUAGUUUAGUUGGUUGGUUAUCUUGGCUAGUUAACUAACUAGCUAAGCUAACAGUUUAGACGUUUAGAAACUGAAACCAAGCUCAAAAAUAGGUAUGGAGCUUUUUCCUAAUUUUUCCUGUUUCAGUUUAUUAGUUUAACAAAACAGUUUCCCACCAUUUGAUUGGUGAACCCCAUGAAAUAGCCACGUUAAACAGAACAAGGUGUUCCAGAACAGAGAACAGCGUCCGCCUGCCUGCUUUCUUUCCAGCUAACUACAUAACCCCAACUACAAGCCCACACUUGCCCACUUGCAGUCUUAGUGUUGCUUGCUGGAGCUAUCUAUCUAAGCGUUAACACCUCUCCCACAAGCUAA
RNAcentral lists this long non-coding RNA (1362 nucleotides) under Astyanax mexicanus (Mexican tetra). RNAcentral's name for it is "lncRNA (ENSAMXG00005007949.1)". Lineage: Eukaryota; Metazoa; Chordata; Actinopteri; Characiformes; Acestrorhamphidae. The record is from RNAcentral.